RNAcentral lists this ribosomal RNA (338 nucleotides) under uncultured Rhodoferax sp. RNAcentral's name for it is "bacterial SSU rRNA". It matches the Rfam family "Bacterial small subunit ribosomal RNA", at positions 1040 to 1382 of the family's 1533-position model. Lineage: Bacteria; Pseudomonadati; Pseudomonadota; Betaproteobacteria; Burkholderiales; Comamonadaceae. The record is from RNAcentral.
GCUGCAUGGCUGUCGUCAGCUCGUGUCGUGAGAUGUGGUUAAGUCCGCAACGAGCGCAACCCUUGUUCAUUAGUUGCUACAUUCAGUUGGGCACUCUAAUGAGACUGCCGGUGACAAGCCGGAGGAAGGUGGGGAUGACGUCAAGUCCUCAUGGCCCUUAUAGGUGGGGCUACACACGUCAUACAAUGGCUGGUACAAAGGGUUGCCAACCCGCGAGGGGGAGCCAAUCCCAUAAAGCCAGUCGUAGUCCGGAUCGUAGUCUGCAACUCGACUACGUGAAGUCGGAAUCGCUAGUAAUCGUGGAUCAGAAUGUCACGGUGAAUACGUUCCCGGGUCUU